RNAcentral lists this ribosomal RNA (305 nucleotides) under uncultured bacterium. RNAcentral describes it as "bacterial SSU rRNA". It matches the Rfam family "Bacterial small subunit ribosomal RNA", at positions 335 to 658 of the family's 1533-position model. The record is from RNAcentral.
UGGCCUACGGGAGGCAGCAGUGGGGAAUAUUGCACAAUGGGGGAAACCCUGAUGCAGCGACGCCGCGUGAGCGAAGAAGUAUCUCGGUAUGUAAAGCUCUAUCAGCAGGGAAGAAAAUGACGGUACCCGACUAAGAAGCCCCGGCUAACUACGUGCCAGCAGCCGCGGUAAUACGUAGGGGGCGAGCGUUAUCCGGAUUUACUGGGUGUAAAGGGAGCGCAGGCGGCGCGGUAAGUCUGAUGUGAAAGCCCGGGGCUCAACCCCGGCCCGCCGUUGAAACUGGCAGUCUCGAGUUGGAGAGAAGU